GAUGAACGCUGGCGGCGCGCCUAACACAUGCAAGUCGAACGGCACCCCUCCUCGGAGGGAAGCGAGUGGCGAACGGCUGAGUAACACGUGGAGAACCUGCCCCCUCCCCCGGGAUAGCCGCCCGAAAGGACGGGUAAUACCGGAUACCCCGGGGUGCCGCAUGGCACCCCGGCUAAAGCCCCGACGGGAGGGGAUGGCUCCGCGGCCCAUCAGGUAGACGGCGGGGUGACGGCCCACCGUGCCGACAACGGGUAGCCGGGUUGAGAGACCGACCGGCCAGAUUGGGACUGAGACACGGCCCAGACUCCUACGGGAGGCAGCAGUGGGGAAUCUUGCGCAAUGGGGGGAACCCUGACGCAGCGACGCCGCGUGCGGGACGGAGGCCUUCGUGUCGUAAACCGCUUUCAGCAGGGAAGAGUCAAGACUGUACCUGCAGAAGAAGCCCCGGCUAACUACGUG
RNAcentral lists this ribosomal RNA (459 nucleotides) under uncultured bacterium. RNAcentral's name for it is "partial 16S ribosomal RNA". It matches the Rfam family "Bacterial small subunit ribosomal RNA", at positions 28 to 507 of the family's 1533-position model. The record is from RNAcentral.